This 500-nucleotide ribosomal RNA is filed under the name uncultured bacterium. RNAcentral describes it as "partial 16S ribosomal RNA". It matches the Rfam family "Bacterial small subunit ribosomal RNA", at positions 30 to 523 of the family's 1533-position model. The record is from RNAcentral.
AUUGAACGCCGGCGGAAUGCUUUACACAUGCAAGUCGAACGGCAGCACGGACUUCGGUCUGGUGGCGAGUGGCGAACGGGUGAGUAAUGUAUCGGAACGUGCCCAGUCGUGGGGGAUAACGUAGUGAAAAUUACGCUAAUACCGCAUACGAUCUAUGGAUGAAAGCGGGGGCUCGCAAGACCUCGCGCGAUUGGAGCGGCCGAUAUCAGAUUAGGUAGUUGGUGGGGUAAAGGCCCACCAAGCCAACGAUCUGUAGCUGGUCUGAGAGGACGACCAGCCACACUGGAACUGAGACACGGUCCAGACUCCUACGGGAGGCAGCAGUGGUGAAUUUUGGACAAUGGGCGAAAGCCUGAUCCAGCCAUUCCGCGUGCAGGAUGAAGGCCCUCGGGUUGUAAACUGCUUUUGUACAGAACGAAAAGGUUUCUACUAAUACUAGGAGCUCAUGACAGUACUGUAAGAAUAAGCACCGGCUAACUACGUGCCAGCAGCCGCAGUAA